UCCUACGGGAGGCAGCAGUAGGGAAUCUUCCGCAAUGGACGAAAGUCUGACGGAGCAACGCCGCGUGAGUGAUGAAGGCUUUCGGGUCGUAAAACUCUGUUGUUAGGGAAGAACAAGUGCUAGUUGAAUAAGCUGGCACCUUGACGGUACCUAACCAGAAAGCCACGGCUAACUACGUGCCAGCAGCCGCGGUAAUACGUAGGUGGCAAGCGUUAUCCGGAAUUAUUGGGCGUAAAGCGCGCGCAGGUGGUUUCUUAAGUCUGAUGUGAAAGCCCACGGCUCAACCGUGGAGGGUCAUUGGAAACUGGGAGACUUGAGUGCAGAAGAGGAAAGUGGAAUUCCAUGUGUAGCGGUGAAAUGCGUAGAGAUAUGGAGGAACACCAGUGGCGAAGGCGACUUUCUGGUCUGUAACUGACACUGAGGCGCGAAAGCGUGGGGAGCAAACAGGAUUAGAUACCCUGGUAGUCCACGCCGUAAACGAUGAGUGCUAAGUGUUAGAGGGUUUCCGCCCUUUAGUACUGAAGUUAACGCAUUAAGCACUCCGCCUGGGGAGUACGGCCGCAAGGCUGAAACUCAAAGGAAUUGACGGA
RNAcentral lists this ribosomal RNA (590 nucleotides) under uncultured bacterium. RNAcentral describes it as "bacterial SSU rRNA". It matches the Rfam family "Bacterial small subunit ribosomal RNA", at positions 337 to 917 of the family's 1533-position model. The record is from RNAcentral.